GUCGAACGCGAAAGGGGAGCAAUCCCUGAGUAGAGUGGCGAACGGGUGAGUAACACGUGGGUGACCUGCCUUCGAGUGGGGGAUAACGUCCCGAAAGGGACGCUAAUACCGCAUGACAUCCUGCCUUUGAACAGGCGGUGAUUAAAGCUGGGGAUCGCAAGACCUGGCGCUUGAAGAGGGGCCCGCGCCCGAUUAGCUAGUUGGUGGGGUAAUAGCCUACCAAGGCUUCGAUCGGUAGCCGGCCUGAGAGGGCGGACGGCCACACUGGGACUGAGACACGGCCCAGACUCCUACGGGAGGCAGCAGUGGGGAAUUGUUCGCAAUGGGCGCAAGCCUGACGACGCAACGCCGCGUGGAGGACGAAGAUUUUCGGAUCGUAAACUCCUUUCGAUCGGGACGAAUCGUCUCCGACCUAAUACGUCGGGGGACUGACGGUACCGAGAGAAGAAGCCCCGGCUAACUCCGUGCCAGCAGCCGCGGUAAUACNGGGGGGGGCAAGCGUUGUUCGGAAUUACUGGGCGUAAAGGGCGCGUAGGCGGCCUGCUAAGUCGGACGUGAAAUCCCUCGGCUCAACCGGGGAACUGCGUCCGAUACUGGCGAGGCUUGAAUCCGGGAGAGGGAUGUGGAAUUCCAGGUGUAGCGGUGAAAUGCGUAGAUAUCUGGAGGAACCCAAGUGGCGAAGGCGGCAUCCUGGACCGGCAUUGAC
Molecule: ribosomal RNA, 706 nt
Filed under: uncultured bacterium
Lineage: Bacteria
Description: bacterial SSU rRNA
Rfam family: Bacterial small subunit ribosomal RNA
Source: RNAcentral